ACGGAGGAUGCGAGCGUUAUCCGGAUUCAUUGGGUUUAAAGGGUGCGUAGGCGGACUGAUAAGUCAGUGGUGAAAUCCUGCAGCUUAACUGUAGAACUGCCAUUGAUACUGUUAGUCUUGAGUUUGGUUAAGGUAGGCGGAAUGUGUAAUGUAGCGGUGAAAUGCUUAGAUAUUACACAGAACACCGAUUGCGUAGGCAGCUUACUGGACCGACACUGACGCUGAGGCACGAAAGCGUGGGGAUCGAACAG
Molecule: ribosomal RNA, 251 nt
Filed under: uncultured prokaryote
Description: partial 16S rRNA
Rfam family: Bacterial small subunit ribosomal RNA
Source: RNAcentral